GAUGAACGCUGGCGGCGUGCUUAACACAUGCAAGUCGAACGGAAAGGCCCAAGCUUGCUUGGGUACUCGAGUGGCGAACGGGUGAGUAACACGUGGGUGAUCUGCCCUGCACUUCGGGAUAAGCCUGGGAAACUGGGUCUAAUACCGGAUAGGACCACAUUUUGGAUGGUGUGGUGGAAAGUUUUUCGGUGUGGGAUGAGCUCGCGGCCUAUCAGCUUGUUGGUGGGGUAAUGGCCUACCAAGGCGUCGACGGGUAGCCGGCCUGAGAGGGUGUACGGCCACAUUGGGACUGAGAUACGGCCCAGACUCCUACGGGUGGCAGCAGUGGGGAAUAUUGCACAAUGGGCGCAAGCCUGAUGCAGCGACGCCGCGUGGGGGAUGACGGCCUUCGGGUUGUAAACUCCUUUCGCUAGGGACGAAGCGUUAUGUGACGGUACCUGGAGAAGAAGCACCGGCUAACUACGUG
RNAcentral lists this ribosomal RNA (466 nucleotides) under uncultured bacterium. RNAcentral describes it as "partial 16S ribosomal RNA". It matches the Rfam family "Bacterial small subunit ribosomal RNA", at positions 28 to 507 of the family's 1533-position model. The record is from RNAcentral.